Molecule: non-coding RNA, 8535 nt
Organism: Xyrichtys novacula (pearly razorfish)
Lineage: Eukaryota; Metazoa; Chordata; Actinopteri; Labriformes; Labridae
Source: the annotation of a GenBank genome assembly
AGAGGAGAGCAGUUCAUUUUGUUGGGGCUUCUCAUGUCAAUGCCGCUGUACUUGCAAAGGUUUAUUAACCUGUAAAAGGGAAAUAAAGGUUAUCAAUCAGUUUGAUGAGCCAUCAGCGAGAGAUUUUCAUCCAGCGCCAACCAUUCUGAAGCAAUAGUGCCAUCUGUAGUCUGGAUGGAGAACUAUUGAUGUCUGAGCAGCAAUGUGUGAUAGGAAGCACUUGCAAGUGGGCUGCCACUGAUUUGAGUUGUAUCUUUUUGAUCAAGUCUUUCUAAGCAAGAGAAAAUAGUGUGUUACAUAGCGUUUACUACUCCUCUCCUUUCUCCUCUUCCUUUCUAAGCUGUGCUAUCCAAACAUUAUGUAUCCUUGUACAGUCAAAAGCAGAGCUUUGGUGCUGACGUGUGACGAAGUCUGAAAAAACUACGGCAUCACUUCUCACUUCAACAGUUCAAAUUCCUCGCAGCCUUUUCCACCUUUGUCCCAGUAUGUCAAAUCUCUCCACUAUCUUGCCAGCCCAUACCUGGACAGCAGAGCCAGACCAAAGGGAGAGAGUCGAGGGGAGAACUUUGUAACCCCUUUAAGCCUUUGGCUCAGCUCUGUGUGUGUAGGGGAUUCACUGUUAGUGCUGUCUGUAAUCCUGGAUUCCCCGAGAGAUUAGCGUUCAGAGAGGGUUUGCUUGUCCUGCGCUGCUCUACACUGGCCAGGUUAGGAGAACAGGAUGAGCUCUGGGAUGAUGAGCUUACACCAGGAUUGAGCUGUGACUGAUCAGCCUAUUCAUCACGAGCACAAGUCAGGACAGCACUUCACAGCUGUUGUGCCCAAGGUUUCUAUUUGUAGAGAGACUGCUGUUUUAAUUACUUGUACACAACUUCUUCCUCAUUACAGGGAGGUAUUAAUACUUCAUGAUUAUUUUAAAGGUUACAAAAAAAAGCCUCCUACGUAAAUCAUCCAGUAGACGCUCCAUCAAUUUGACUAAAAGGUCCUGGAGCCAACUAAUGCACAGCUGACCUUCACUUUGAAGAGGUUUCUGAUGAACGCUUGAACCACAAGAAUCUUCAUUAAGAAGCAUUUCCACUGUGAGAGGAACAGAUGUUUAUGAGACGCUGUGAUAAACAUAUUUUUAGCCCUAAUAUGGACUAGCAAUAUCUAUUUGUCGAGAAAACUCACCACUUAAAGGUAGAGUGCGCAGAAUUUUUAAGGUAUUUAGCAGAACAGGCUGGUAGAGAUGGAACAUGAGUAUUUGAAUUGUUUAUCUUGAAAAAAAAAAGCCUUUUAUACAUGCACUUUAUAGAGUCUGUUCACAGGGAAAACAAAUUAGCAAGGGACCAUUUGCGGUUUUGUUUUCAGUGGGUGUCCAUCUGAAAUGCACCUGUUGAAAGACAAAGACAAGGAAAAGUGUAGUUAUGAUGUAAAAUAAAGAUACAUUACGAAAUAUUUGGACCGGUUGGAUGUUAUUCAGUCGUAAAACUGGACAAAUCGAGGCUCAUACUCAUGCAUUAUAGAUGACUGUUGCUCCACUGGAGGGAAGAGUGACUAAGGGAGCGCCUUAAUGUAAAAUCUGACUGCUCGGUAAUAAUAAGUAUUCCCAUUUCUGCACUUAGUACCUUUAAAUACCUCAUAAUUAUUCAAGGGAUCUGAAUCAAUUUUUAAACAGAUUUCCAUGAUCUCCAGAGGACAAAGCCAGUGUAAACAUAAACAAAAUACUAAGUUUGGAGCCCAGAAGCUCACUGGUAGUAAGCAGUAUAGACUCAUUUGCAGCAAGAAAAGGGCACACAUAUCCCACAGUAAUGGGAUAUGAAUUCAUACAAAUAAAGAAAGAGAAGACUCCUGGUGUAUAAAGAAUGCUUUUCUAGAGGAGGUCUUGUUUGGUACAGUGUGGUCCUAUAAACUCUGGCCUGUCAUGCAUUUUUACACCCAACCAUACCCAUACUUGGUUAGCAGGGUCGUGAGCUGAACGGCAUUAGCCCUGUCAGCUAAGAAGAAGUAACUGAACUGCAACAACAGGGGACACCAGACAAGAGAUUUAAUCCAUAGGAUAUUUUAAAGUGGCAUGUCUGUUCACUUUUGCAGCUGUGGGACAAAAAGUAACAUGCAGUGCAUAGACUGUAUAUACUAUGGACAACUUGGUCCAGCCUUCCAUCAUUGUAUGAAUUUGGAGCUGAAUUGCUCUCUGUAUUAUUUUAUCCACUUCAGGAGAGUCGCUGUGAUGACGCUCAGCUCAAACAGCAUAUCCCCUGGGAGAGCUACGUAAUCUUUAUAUGUCCAUAGGCUGUAACAAGUGUCAAUCAUAGAAAACAUGAACCCCCUAAUAAUCAUUUUAAAAUGGAGCUGUACAGAAAAAAAGAGGACUUGAUCACAAACCAGUCUUACAGUAACUACAUGUCAACAUCGCAACCAGGGGUGAGAAAAACUUAUGUUCUGUGUAAUAAAUUUCUAAAGUUCCAGUCCACAGCUCCAUAGGGAUUGCUGGAGGAGGCGGGAAUUAUACUGCAGCCUGUCACCAGAGGGUGCUGUUCUUGUGGUAGCUUGACCCAGUGAGUAGGUAGAUGGCGUCUAUUCUAUAUACAGUCUAUGAUGCUGUGUGUCUAGCUCUACCAUUUAGAGUGUGAUAAGUAGGCUGGUUUCCCAAGAAAGAGCGUGGUAAGAAAAUGGUAGGAAUCGGCACAGAAUGAUUAUUUUGUUACGUUUUCCAUUUCAGACAGUAAAAAUGCAAAUGAUUAUGUACCUUACUGAACUCAGUCACUCUAUGGACACGCAGCUUUAGUCUACCAUCUCAGAACCCAUUGGCUGAUAUUUGGUGACAGUAGAGCCUUGAAAGGGCCUGCAAACUUUUUCGAGCUUCCAGGUAAGCCAGGGGCUAAUGAUAUCAGACCUCCAGACUUUCUUUUCCGUGCAUUAAAAGUGUUUACAGUCCAACCAUCAACUUGGGGAGAUUGUUGAUGACAUGAGGCAAAGAGUGGUUUGUUGGCUGUGCCUUUGCAGAAGACUGAUGAUGAAGUUUUAAAUAAAAGAUUCAUCUUUGUCAGACUAUAGCAGAUGAGUUUGGAGUUUGCACCACAACUGAUAUUUUAUGCUUUCAACAGGAACAAACAGGAGCCAGAACUAUUCAAACACAUGAUACUGCAUGACUUCCACACAGACUUCACAUUUAUUCACUAAAUCUGCUUGUAGAGGUUAAUAGAGGCAAAACAGCGAAUCAAAUGCAAACUGGAGCCCCCACUUUAACUAUUGUGGCACAUUUUUAACUUAGUCCCAAACUAACUAAAUUCAAAUUCAAAUGAUGGGGUUGAACCGAGAGGUUGAUAGAAGUCUGGUCUCUCUGUUAUUCUUAUUCUUGUUCUCAACUAGCUGAUGAAUCCAAGGAAUGAUCCAACCUACAGAAGUACUCUUUGAGACAUUAGCCAUGUUAACAUGAAAUUUCUUAAUCCGAUUAAAAAUUUGAGGGAUCGGAAAAUCUGAAUUCACUGUUGAUAUGGGUGUAAAUUCAAAUAAUACGAUCAUGACAUGCGUAUACUUGUAUAAUAAAUCACCCUUCUCGUUCAGAAUACAAUUUCUUUCGGAUUAAGCUGAUAGAUCAGAAUUUUCCGAUCGACAUGUUUAUAUGAUGCUUUUAUAUUCUGAUCGGGCCUUUAUUCAGAUAGUUUGUGCCCAUGUAAACACAGCUAUUGGGUACUACAAGCAGGAAACACUUUAAGCUCUGGGGGUCAUGAGUAUAUAAUCUUCUUCUGUAGAUUAUGAUGGGAGUUUAUUUUCUAGUUUUUGUCUGUACACAUUAAGCAGCUUUGUAGACCAGUUGAAGAGUCUUGAUAAACUUAUUACAGCAGACUAAUAAGAAGCCCAACAAAUGUGUGGACACACGUGAUUUUGAGGAGGGAAAUACUUGAUUCUUGAAAUUUUAAAAAGCAAAUAUUGCAAAUGAUACCGGAGUUUUAGGACAUCCUGUUACAAGCCAGUAAAAAGGCAGCUACAAAGGUAGUAAGAAAAGGGGAUCUGGGAGAUCAAAGUGGAUGUGCAGGUAGAGGUUGGGGGGUCAGAGGGUGAUCUGUUGGUGAACAAGGCAGAGAGAGGCACCAACUACUCUAAGAUGCUUAGGAACAGAGUCGUGGAAGAUUCCCAAGGUGAGGGAGUGAGUGGAAAAGGAGAUCAGGGCUAAAGUAAGCUCAUCCAUCUCUGUCCAUUUUAGGGGGAGAGGCUGGAAGAGCUAAAGAUGGAUGAGGCAUGCAGGGCUAAAUCCCGUCAUGUCCACUCACACAACAGGGCCUGGUGGUGAAAUAGUGUUUUGGCUGCGAGCAAGGCCAGCCCGACCCACUCCCUUUUUUUCGGGAAUGAAGAUGACGGUUGGACCAGUUAGGAUGGAUUAGUCAAACAACACCUGACAUGAAGAGGAGAGCUAUAAGGAGAUAACUGCCUUAAUUCAGAACUCAAUGGAAAAAAGUUAAAACUCUUUGCAACCAGUUAAGUGUUUCCAUGUUUUCGAUCAGCUCCAUUAAUCUAAUGAAAAUUAGAUCACUAUAAUAAAUGUACAUUUUUUCGACUGUGGUGUAUUUGUACAGAUUUUCUUGGCUUGUCAAGUCGCAUCAUCUGUGUUUUCAUGAUGAAAUUCAUCUUGUGGGAGCAAGCAUGCUUUCAACAAAGCAGGGGUUUUAAGGAAUUCUCUUCGGAGGGUCGACCGCAUCUCAUUCAUCAAUCCUAUACAUCACAGCCAGGGUGUUCUGCUGUCUCAAUACAUACUCAGAAGGGGCUGGGCUGUUUGUGGGAAGAGGGAAGUUUGUGUUAGAAAAAAAAAUAACAAUCAAAGUAUAUGAAGCACUAAGGUCAUCUGGCAAAGGGACUUUUCUUCUUGUCAUUGCACAAUAUCUCCCUUUUGAUCCUGACAUAUGCUUCCCCAGCAAAAUUGCAACAGCAUGAAUGCAACUUAAUUUUUUUUCUCCAAGGGCAUUGUUGCUGGGAAAUAAUUUCCUCUCAAGGCAAGAGAACAUAUCUGAAAAAAGACAGAAAAAAAACAUUUGUGUUUGUGUGUUUGUGUGUGUGUGUGUGUGUGUCUUUGGUAAGAGAGAGGCAGAGAAUGUGUGGUUAUGAAAGUGUGAUAAUAAAUGUGCAAACAUUGUGCAGGCAUGCCUGUAUGUCAGCUUGAGUUUGUGUUCACGUGACAAAGAGUGUGUGUGAGACUUUGCGGUGAUUUCAGCAAUAUGAAGACCUUAUGCUGCUGGAAUUAAAACUAUUGGCUUCAGGCGAUGCUUGUACUUCUGAGCCUCUUGACCAGGAGGCUCCAGACUGCUGCAGUCUUCUUCCAGGGGAUAUUCUGUGGCCUCCACUGGUCGUUCUGGUUGUUGCGUUGGCUUUUUUGCUCCAGGCUCUCUGGCAGGAGCCUCAGCCAUGCACAUGCUGAGGCUGCAUCCUGUCUGCAAACUCUGUCACAGUGUCGGGCAUGUGUCAGAUCAGGAAGGGGCAAGUUGCUGGCUCCAAUAGACAGUUGUUCUUUCCAGCCCGAGCUUCCCAAACCGCAAAUCCCCUCUCUGUGUGUUUUCUCAGCCAGAAUGCAUGGGCUCACCCCACACAGGGCCCAGAGCCUAAUUACAAAAAGGAGGGAAAACCAGAGCUGGCUACUGAUUGAGCUUCCUGGGUGAACGUUAAUGACAACCGCAGAAGGAUACUUUAUACCCUGAGAGGGAUGCAACCGAGACUGGGAAUAGAUGGAAGUAUGGGAGGUUUGGAGUCACAUAGACACAUCUUUACAUGGAUUUAUGAAGACAAACAAGCUAUGACAUGCUCUUUUAUUACAUAUGCAUCAUGAUAUACCUUGUCCAAGUGCACUGACAUGAUACAACCAGAAACAGUAAACACUUUUAAACUCUGCUGCUGCAGUCAAAGGAGUUUAGAGGCAACGUGCCAAACCUCAUUCCAACUGGGAACAAUGGGACACAUAUUCUUCCACAUUGCAGCAUUCAUGCGGUGUAAUCACUUCCUUCUCUUGAUUUCCACUACCCACAUACCGCACUGUCAAUGGUUGGAUGUAUCCAAAUAAAACAGUUCCAGGUACUAGUGCUGAACUUGCAUAUUUAUUUUCAUGCUAAAUGCAUUUAUCUGCUUUACUGCAUCUCAAAGCAAACAUGGUACUUUUUACUCAACUAGAUUAAUGUGGCAGGAGUAUUUAGUAUCCAUGAGUUAAUUUAAACAGCUAAUUGAUUUUGUCUACCUCAUAGACUGAAGCAAGAGCAGAUGGCUAGCUUUCUAUGCUACAUGACUCACCUAAAACUUAUUGUUUCCCCCAUAGACUGUAUAUACUAUAGACAACUUGGUUCCACCUUCUGUCGUUAUACGAAUUUAAAGCCGAAAGGGGAGAGAAAAAAUUAUAUUCUGUGUAAUUAAUUAAAUUUGUCCAUAGCUCCAUAGGGAUUGCUGGAGGAGGUGGGAUUUAUGACCUAUACUGCCGCCUGUCACUAGAGUCUGCUUUUCUUGCGGUGGCUUCACCCAGCGAGGAGGCAGACGGCGUCCAUGCUAUAUACAGUCUAUGGUUUCCCCUCUGAAGUACUUGAAUAAACAAAGUACAUCAUCUGAAAAUUCAUCUUUAAGAAUGGGCAUUUGGUCAACUUUGUUCCGCUUUGGCAAUUUAAAGCCCUCGGCAGCAGGUACUCAUAUUUUCUAUUGCUGCCGGAUGCUGGGAAUAUUGAAUUCCCUUCGUAGAUCUAUAAAGUUAUUCUUAUCUUAUGUUAUCUUAUCUUAUGUAAUCUUAUCAACCAUAGUUAAGUUCUACUAGUACUCAGAUUUGAAGUACAUUUACUCCAUUUUUGUUUAAGGCAUGAUUGACAAUUGGAGAGAUUGGUAAUUAUUAUGAACCUUGCUUUUAUGGUGAUCAUGGUCCUAUAGUGCGAUCUCCACAAAGUGAGGAGAAAAAAGAAAAUCCUUUUACCCUAGCAGGUGCAGGGCUGCAAAAACAUUGACCAAUGGGAGCCAUCCAUCCCGGACCGCUCCUAUUGGUCAAUCUCCUGCUCCACCUCUCUAUUCAGUUACUUUGCUGUAUUUGACACACUUCACUCCAUAGUUCCGAGGGGGGGGGGGGGGGGGGUUGCGUCUACUGUUCAUUAAUAUUACUAGUAAGCCAUGUAAGUCAGACACCAAAAUAACAUAAAAACAAAAGGAACAUUUUGUGACUCUGGGCCCGGGGUAACAAGGUCAGGUGUUUACAAAGCUCUCCAAGGAGGUAGAAAACCAUUGACUCUGUUUUUAAUGCAGGAAACCUUCUGACUUGUGACUCCACAUGUCCAGCAAUGCGGCUUCUUUCUGCGCUCUGAAACACAACCAGUGGAUGUUGACAUGGAGCAGGAGCAUGGAGCAGAGAUGGACUGAACACAGAUCUCUUGUGAGUAUGGCACUACGGUAUUAAGAAGUAUCCAGCAGUCAGAUUCCAUGUCGAGACACUCUACUUCACUUGAGGCUCUAGGAGCAACUGUAGCCUUCGGGACAAAAAGCUCCUGUGAAUAAGUGUGAUCCAUAUCUGUCAAGUUUUUAGCAUCAAAACAGUCUAUGAUUCAAAAUGAUGUUGUUUAGUCUUUUUUAUCUACAUCUUCCUCCUCUAACCAGUGCAGUUCCAGCAGCCACCCACUCAAUGCAAAAAUUGGUAUGGGCUCUGUCCCUUACCAUGACAGUGCAAAAGGGCAGCCUACAUAAAAGAGAAUUUCCUGGGGUGCAGAUGGCCUAGCAGUCUAGGCACCUCUCAUAUAGAGAGAUCUCGUUGCAGUGGUCUCUGGUUGGAUUUCCAGCCACAACCCUUUGUUUCAUGUUUCCCCUGCUCUCUGCCCUUCUUACGUUUCCUGUCCCUCCUCAGCUGUUGGAUCUAAUAAGCAGAAAAGCCCUGAAAUAUAACUUGAUAAAAACUGAUGGAAACGUGGCUGCCAGUUUGCGCCUACGGCCUCUCCGACCACCAACACACAACACGCACAUUCAUACACCAGUGGAGGACACACACUGGGAGCAAGGUGGGUUACGUAUCUUGCCCAAGGACACAAUGGACAGACUAGGGAUAGGGGAGGAAUUGAACCAACAACCUUACAGUUAUUGGAAGACCACUCUACCUCCUGAGCUACUGCCGCCCCAAAAACAGGAUUUUCAUACAGAUACAGUGACACAAAUUUAAACAUACAAAUAUUAUGUCACUUUUCUGAUGCUAAAAACACACACUCUACCUUUAAAUCAAACAAGUGGACUUAUUUUGUAUUUUUUAAGGAGGACUACCACAUGAAAAUGAGAUAAUCAGCUAAUACUGCAUAUGUACAUUAGGGCUCACCUUUCUUGCAUCUGUUCAGAGGUAGCAUUAGCUGGUAUGUAGACACAACAGGCUUAUUUCAAGUAAACAAAAACAAAGAAAUCCUUAUAUCCUGGUAACUGUUUACAACUUUCAACAUUUUGUUUUUAUAACUUAUUUCUAUCAAGGCCAUUCUGCUAGUUGUCACUAAGUACUACAAACUGUACCCAGAGCUGAAAAGCACCAGGCAAGGCACCCAGCUUUAUUCCAUCGCAUGUUUCCCUAACUCCAAC